UCAAGCUACUAAGAGCACUAGGUGGAUGCCUUGGCGCCAAGAGCCGAUGAAGGACGUGGCAGGCUGCGAAAAGCUUCGGGGAGUCGCGAGCAGACAGUGAUCCGAAGAUGUCCGAAUGGGGAAACCCGGCUGGGGUAAUGCCCAGUCAUCGGUGGCUGAAUACAUAGGCCACCGGAAGGUAAGCCAGCGAACUGAAACAUCUAAGUAGCUGGAAGAGAAGAUAUCAAUUCCCUGAGUAGUGGCGAGCGAAAAGGGAACAGUCCAAACCGCGACAGCGUGAUAGGCGGGAGCCGUUGCUGUCUCGGGGUUGUAGGAGUCAACUUUCGAAUCCUCCCGGAUUCGAGCGAAGUCACAAAUCUGAUCGUUAGGUGAACCUGCUUGGAAAGGCAGGCCAUAGAGGGUGAGAGCCCCGUAACCGAAAGCGAUCAGACUUCGUGGUUGAUCACCUGAGUAACGCGUGGAAGGUCUCUCAUGCGUGAACCUAGGGGGACCACCCUCUAAGACUAAAUACUCUUGGCGACCGAUAGUGAACAAGUACCGUGAGGGAAAGGCGAAAAGAACCCCGUAAGGGGAGUGAAAUAGAACCUGAAACCGAGUGCUUACAAACAGUCAGAGCACUAUGUUGGAAACAACAGUGUGAUGGCGUGCCUUUUGAAGAAUGAGCCGACGAGUUACUGCUGUGUGGCAAGGUUAAGUCCGAGAAGGACGGAGCCGUAGCGAAAGCGAGUCUCAAUAGGGCGUUGAGUCGCAUGGCGUAGACCCGAAACCGGGUGACCUAUCCAUGGCCAGGUUGAAGCGGGGGUAAUACCCCGUGGAGGACCGAACUGGUGAAUGUUGAAAAAUUCUCGGAUGAGCUGUGGAUAGCGGAGAAAUUCCAAUCGAACCCGGAGAUAGCUGGUUCUCCCCGAAAUAGCUUUAGGGCUAGCCUCGGGCGUUCAAUCAUGGGGGUAGAGCACUGGAUGGACUAGGGGGCUUCCCGCUUACCAAAUCCAACCAAACUUCGAAUCCCAUGAUUCAAGAGCCCGGGAGUCAGACUACGAGGGCUAAGCUUCGUGGUCCCAAGGAAAACAGUCCAGAUCGCCAACUAAGGUCCCUAAAUCAACGCUAAGUGGUGAACGAUGUGGGAUUGCAUAAACAACCAGGAUGUUGGCUCAGAAGCAGCCAUCAUUGAAAGAGUGCGUAACAGCUCACUGGUCAAGUGAUCCCGCGCGGAAAAUUUAACGGGGCUCAAGCGUUGUACCGAAGUUGCGAAAUCGUCGCCCAGCUUGCUGGCCGACGAUUGGUAGGGGAGCGUUCCGCUUGCAGUGAAGGCAGACCGGAAGGACUGCUGGAGCGAGCGGAAGUGCGAAUGUCGGCAUGAGUAGCGAAAUGUGAGUGGGAAUCUCACACACCGUAUGGCCAAGGUUUCCUGAGCAAGGCUCGUCCUCUCAGGGUUAGUCGGUCCUAAGCCGAGGGCGAACGCCGUAGGCGAUGGACAUCUGGUUGAUAUUCCAGAACCACCAAAGACCGUUUGCACCGCAAGGUGUCGCCGGGCGAAGGCGGAGGGUGGCUCUCUGACGCAAGUCAGGGGGUACUCCGAGUUGACGUCAGGUGGGAGCAAGGGCAUGACGGGGUCUGGUAGUUCGAGCGUGCUAUGGAAUGCACGUCCAAGCUCGUAGGGGGUGGGACUAGGUAAAUCCGGUCCCGCAUUCAACUCUGAAAAGCGAUGGGAAGGGGUGUAUGCCCUGACUCGAGCAAGCCAAGCCUCCAAGAAAAGUGUCUAGCGAGGUCCUAGGUGACCGUACCGCAAACCGACACAGGUGGCCGGGUAGAGAAUACCAAGGUGAUCGGGAGAACCCUCGUUAAGGAACUCGGCAAAAUAACCCCGUAACUUCGGGAGAAGGGGUGCUCACAGGUGCAGCUUGCUGUGCUUGUGAGCCGCAGUGAAAUGGCCCAGGCGACUGUUUAACAAAAACACAGGUCUCCGCUAAAGCGCAAGCUGAUGUAUGGGGGCUGACGCCUGCCCAGUGCUGGAAGGUUAAGAGGAGGGGUGCAAGCUCUGAAUCGAAGCCCCAGUGAACGGCGGCUGUAACUAUAACAGUCCUAAGGUAGCGAAAUUCCUUGUCGGGUAAGUUCCGACCCGCACGAAUGGCGUAACGAUCUGGGCACUGUCUCAACGAGGGAUCCGGCGAAAUUGAAAUACCAGUGAAGAUGCUGGUUACCCGCGCUGGGGCAAAAAGACCCCGUGGAGCUUUACUACACCCUGAUAUUGGAUUGAGGCUCGACCUGUGUAGGAUAGGUGGGAGGCUUUGAAGCUGGGGCGUUAGCCUCGGUGGAGCCGUCGUUGA
Molecule: ribosomal RNA, 2327 nt
Filed under: wastewater metagenome
Description: bacterial LSU rRNA
Rfam family: Bacterial large subunit ribosomal RNA
Source: RNAcentral